RNAcentral lists this small RNA (117 nucleotides) under Drosophila willistoni. Its description in RNAcentral is "GK28206". Lineage: Eukaryota; Metazoa; Arthropoda; Insecta; Diptera; Drosophilidae. The record is from RNAcentral.
AAGGAGAAGCAUUGGGGAGUAUACAGAUUCAUCUGAAAAAAGCGCUGUAUUUGCGACCGUUUCGGGCAUUAUCGACCUACCCGACAGGGAGCUAGUACGAUUUCGACGAAACAAAGU